Podarcis lilfordi (Lilford's wall lizard) is the source of this 75-nucleotide non-coding RNA. The record is from the annotation of a GenBank genome assembly. Lineage: Eukaryota; Metazoa; Chordata; Lepidosauria; Squamata; Lacertidae.
GCCUGGAUAGCUCAGUCGGUUGGAGCGUGGCACUGAUAAUUGCCAAGGCUGCAGGCUCAAUCCUUGAGUGGGACA